CUACGGGAGGCAGCAGCAAGGAUCUGGACAAAGGGCGAAAGCUUAACCAGCACACCGAUUGGCGAGAAAGGCCUUUCGGGUCGUAAAGCCCGUUGAUAAGGACGAAGGGCGAAGGAUUAAUAGCCCCUAGCCUUGACGGUUACCUUUCGAGGAAGCCCCGGCUUACUACGUGCCAGCAGCCGCGGUAAUACGUAGGGGGCGAGCGUUGUCCGGAAUUAUUGGGCGUAAAGAGCGUGUAGGCGGUUCGGUAAGUCUGCCGUGAAAACCUGAGGCUCAACGUCGGGCGUGCGGUGGAUACUGCCGGGCUAGAGGACGGUAGAGGCGAGUGGAAUUCCCGGUGUAGCGGUGAAAUGCGCAGAUAUCGGGAGGAACACCAGUAGCGAAGGCGGCUCGCUGGGCCGUUCCUGACGCUGAGACGCGAAAGCUAGGGGAGCGAACAGGAUUAGAUACCCUGGUAGUCCUAGCCGUAAACGAUGGACACUAGGUGUGGGGGGAGUCGAAUCCCUCUGUGCCGCAGUUAACGCGUUAAGUGUCCCGCCUGGGGAGUACGGCCGCAAGGCUAAAACUCAAAAGAAUUGACGGGGGCCCGCACAAGCAGCGGAGCAUGUUCUUUAAUUCGAUGCAACGCGAAGAACCUUACCUGGACUUGACAUGGUGCUGCAAGCGCACGGAAACGUGUGACCUUCGAGGGUGCACCACAGAUGCUGCAUGGCUGUCGUCAGCUUGUGUCGUGAGAUGUUGGGUUAAGUCCCGCAACGAGCGCAACCCCUGUGGCGUGUUGCCAUCAUUAAGUUGGGGACUCACGCCAGACUGCCGGUGACAAACCGGAGGAAGGUGGGGAUGAGGUCAAGUCAUCAUGGCUCUUACGUCCAGGGCUAGAAACGUGCUACAAUGGCUGAUACAAAGGGUUGCAAGACCGCUAGGUGGAGCGAAUCUCAUCAAAGUCAGUCUAAGUUCGGAUCGCAGUCUGCAACUCGACUGCGUGAAGGCGGAGUUGCUAGUAAUCGCGGAUCAGCAUGCCGCGGUGAAUACGUUCCCGGG
Molecule: ribosomal RNA, 1041 nt
Filed under: uncultured bacterium
Lineage: Bacteria
Description: bacterial SSU rRNA
Rfam family: Bacterial small subunit ribosomal RNA
Source: RNAcentral